AUCUGGGCGGCGGAAUUCAGGAUGGCUGGCGUGCUCCCGCGCGUCUGUCGUUUGAUAUUUCCGUCGCCAACUAACCGCAGACGUCGCGACCUGUUCGCGGUCGGUCCCUGCUCGGAGGAGCCGCGUUCGAGCUCGUUGUGUGCGCGUUUCGGCGUGUCACACGGUGAAGGCGCGGAUCUCUGGCUGGCCGUCGGACAGUAUGCUUAACGGUGUCCGGUGUCGUCGUCUCGUACGCGCGGCAUCGGUACCGGUCAGCGACGAAUUCUUCGGGCCUCUUUCCGACCCGUCUUGAAACACGGACCAAGGAGUCUAACAUGCGCGCGAGUCGCGGGGUAUCGAGCGUACUUCGGUGCGUUCGUUAUGUUGCGAAACCCGUACAUGUUGAAGGCGUAAUGAAAGUGAAUGGGGAAGAUGGUGUUCCGAGUACACGUUCCGCGAUCGUCGGUAUCGCGGCCGGGCACCCGCAUUCCCAGGGCGUCUCAACGGCCCGUCGUUGAUGCGGACAGUCGUCUCUCGGGGCGGCUGUCGGUCGGCGACGAACCGA
RNAcentral lists this ribosomal RNA (544 nucleotides) under Chrysomphalus aonidum. RNAcentral describes it as "eukaryotic LSU rRNA". Lineage: Eukaryota; Metazoa; Arthropoda; Insecta; Hemiptera; Diaspididae. The record is from RNAcentral.